Propithecus coquereli (Coquerel's sifaka) is the source of this 792-nucleotide RNA transcript. It is a transcript of the gene named ADP-ribosylation factor 4 pseudogene, with no coding region annotated. NCBI's taxonomy places the organism in Eukaryota, Metazoa, Chordata, Mammalia, Primates, Indriidae. The record is from RefSeq and is a predicted model, not a curated record. The transcript has a single exon.
GCUGUCGUGUGAUGUGGCACAGCAGGAGCCUUAAGGCCAAACCGGGAGCUGCGGAGCCAGUCACCCAUUUGCCGGGAGCGUGAAGAGAGAAGGCCUGGGGACGCCCCAAACCCCUUCUGCCCAUCGCAAGCGCCACUACUGCCAUGGGCCUCACCAUCUCUUCUCUCUUCUCCCGCCUCUUUGGCAAGAAGAAGAUGCGCAUUUUGAUGGUUGGAUUGGAUGCUGCUGGCAAGACAACAAUUCUCUAUAAACUGAAGUUGGGGGAGAUAGUUACCACCAUUCCUACCAUUGAUUUUAAUGUGGAAACAGUAGAAUAUAAGAACAUUUGUUUCGCGGUAGGGGAUGUUGGUGAUCAAGAUAAAAUUAGGCCUCUCUGGCGGCAUUACUUCCAGAAUACCCAGGGUCUUAUUUUUGUGGUAGAUAGCAAUGAUCAUGAAAGAAUUCAGGAAGGAGCAGAAGAGCUGCAGAAAAUGCUUCAGGAAGAUGAAGUGAAAGAUGCAAUGCUGCUGCUUUUUGCAAACAAACAGGAUUUGCCAAAUGCCAUGGCCAUCAGUGAAAUGACAGAUGAAUUAGGUCUUUGGUCUCUUCGUAACAGAACAUGGUAUGUUCAAGCCACUUGUGCUACACAAGGAACUAGUCUGUAUGAGGGAUUUGACUGGCUGUCAAAUGAGCUUUCAAAACGUUAAAUGAAACUGGAUAUCCAACCAAGGACAUGUUUGAUAGAAUUGGUCUAGGCUUGUUACAACAAAAGUAGUUGGCAUCUUAGCUAUUAAACAGUAUCUGGGACUGGUU